AUUGAACGCUGGCGGCAUGCCUUACACAUGCAAGUCGAACGGUAACAGGUCUUCGGAUGCUGACGAGUGGCGAACGGGUGAGUAAUACAUCGGAACGUGCCUAGUAGUGGGGGAUAACUACUCGAAAGAGUGGCUAAUACCGCAUGAGAUCUACGGAUGAAAGAAGGGGAUCGCAAGACCUUGUGCUACUAAAGCGGCCGAUGGCAAGUUAGGUAGUUGGUGGGAUAAAAGCUUACCAAGCCGACGAUCUGUAGCUGGUCUGAGAGGACGAUCAGCCACACUGGGACUGAGACACGGCCCAGACUCCUACGGGAGGCAGCAGUGGGGAAUUUUGGACAAUGGGCGAAAGCCUGAUCCAGCAAUGCCGCGUGCAGGAUGAAGGCCUUCGGGUUGUAAACUGCUUUUGUACGGAACGAAAAGCCCCGGGUUAAUACCCUGGGGUCAUGACGGUACCGUAAGAAUAAGCACCGGCUAACUACGUGCCAGCCGCCGCGGUAA
Molecule: ribosomal RNA, 498 nt
Filed under: uncultured bacterium
Lineage: Bacteria
Description: partial 16S ribosomal RNA
Rfam family: Bacterial small subunit ribosomal RNA
Source: RNAcentral